RNAcentral lists this ribosomal RNA (446 nucleotides) under uncultured bacterium. RNAcentral describes it as "partial 16S ribosomal RNA". It matches the Rfam family "Bacterial small subunit ribosomal RNA", at positions 338 to 795 of the family's 1533-position model. The record is from RNAcentral.
CCUACGGGUGGCAGCAGUCGAGAAUCAUUCACAAUGGGGGAAACCCUGAUGGUGCGACGCCGCGUGGGGGAAUGAAGGUCUUCGGAUUGUAAACCCCUGUCAUGUGGGAGCAAAUUAAAAAGAUAGUACCACAAGAGGAAGAGACGGCUAACUCUGUGCCAGCAGCCGCGGUAAUACAGAGGUCUCAAGCGUUGUUCGGAAUCACUGGGCGUAAGGCGUGCGUAGGCUGUUUCGUAAGUCGUGUGUGAAAGGCGCGGGCUCAACCCGCGGACGGCACAUGAUACUGCGAGACUAGAGUAAUGGAGGGGGAACCGGAAUUCUCGGUGUAGCAGUGAAAUGCGUAGAUAUCGAGAGGAACACUCGUGGCGAAGGCGGGUUCCUGGACAGUAACUGACGCUGAGGCACGAAGGCCAGGGGAGCGAAAGGGAUUAGAUACCUGGGUAGUC